Ictalurus punctatus (channel catfish) is the source of this 1908-nucleotide long non-coding RNA. Lineage: Eukaryota; Metazoa; Chordata; Actinopteri; Siluriformes; Ictaluridae. The record is from Ensembl.
AUUUGGGGAAGGCCCACAUAUGUGUGAGGUGAGCGGGUGUCCACAUACUUUUGGUUAUAUCGUGUAGGUGAAAUAACUUGCAAACGAUGCAUAGGCCUACAUUUUGGGCACCGUAGUUUGAUCAAAUGGACAUAUUUCACACGGGUUUAUUCAGCAUGCCAGUGGACAACUAAACCCGCAGCUGGCUCAGACGACUGAACAGACAGACAGACAGAGACAGACAGCGGGCAACCUAUAACGCGCGCGCCUCGUGUAGGAUAUUUGUGCUGUUUGGGUGUUUCACCGAUAGAGGGCGCAGUUUAAGCACGUUACAGUGAAGCGGACCUGAGACAGCAUCAAGGAGGAGAGAAAGGUGGGCAGGAGGAGGAAAGGAUGCUCAGUUUAGAGCAUCACAUCGCGGCAUUUUACCCAGCUCACACCUUGGCGAGCCAAGAGGGGUUUUACAGGUUUAAGAAAGAGAACAUGACCUACAGUCUGGAAAACUAACCUUCAAACCUGGCAUAAGCUGAAGAACAAUAGUAAGAUACAAUUUGUACUACAGUUUUUAUUUAUGUUCCUUAUUAAUCAGAUGCUGAGUGUUGAGGCUGUUGAAUAUGACAUAAUGCCUAAGACAUUUUUCUAUCGUUUUCAAGAUUUUGCAGUAGCAUUUGGGUACUGUCCCUAAGCUAAUGCCAUAUAUGUAAACAUUAACCCUAACCAUAGAUUAUCAAUACAAGUGGUACACUCUUAGAUAAAGGGUUCCUCGUGGAUACUUUGGACAGUUAAUGUGCCCGGCUUUCUGUACAGGUUCCACUUGAAACCUUUAGUGAAUGGAAACCCUCUGUUAUAGAGUUCUGCAUAGAAUUUUUAAAGGUAUAGAUAUAGCCAAUGGAGUUUGUCACUGAAGCCCUGAGGAAAGAACAAAAAAAAAAUGUUUAAAAAAUGACCCCACCACAAUCGCAUAACAUACUUCAUAAAUGCUUGCACAUAGAAGUAACUGUUGUGAAUAUGUGUGAUCUUUUAGCUUACAGUAUAGUAGGAGUGAAUGUUGAUUGACUUGUGCUUCUUUGUUUUCAGGAUCGUUGUCUAGUUAACUGUCCUUCUUAUAGAUGGUGCUGUCAGUCUCCCCAGUCUCAAUCCACUUUCUUCCUUUGAGUGUGCAACUUUGCCGCAUCCUAUUAAUUUAUUAUCCCACUAAUAUAAACACAUAACCACAUAGAACUGUAAUUUUUUUUUCACAAAAUGUGUACACUGUAUUCAUUUAAAAUAAUCCUAAGAUACAGUGCAUUCAAAAUGACAGAAUACCCAUGGUAAAAGCCUCCUGCAAUGACUAUUCUUGUCCUUCUUGUGUCAUUUUUGUUUCUGUGUGGUUUUAAACACAUUCAACAAAUGACCCAUUGAAGGGCAAGCAAAAUAUAUAUAACUUCUUGGAGUGUUUUAUUUAGACUGCUAACUUUUUUAGACAGAUGAAAUGACACAAAUUUUCUCAUGGUAAACUGAUAAAUAAUGCUUGUAUAUCAGAUAGAAUUUAACAUUCUUAAAAAAUAACCUUUUUUAAAAAAAAAAACUGUGCUUUUAUUUAGCCAAUAUUAAGAAUGUUUAGAUGGAUAUCAAGCAUGACUAAAUGAUUUUGUACUUAGUACUUAGUAGUUUCUGCUAUUAAUCUAGAAUUUUUAAAAAAAUUAAUUUUACCUGUAUGUUACCUGUUACAAUUAGCAACACACUGAUAAAAACCUAAGGCUUUUUGUAAAUGGGUAAAUUUUUAGAUAGAGGACAUAGUCUCUUAGCUGAGAAAGUUAAUACAGAAGAACCCAGUGUGGACAAAACUAAAUUUUGACGACUCUGAGGGGCCAUAAAGGAAUGCAUGCUACACAAAGGGGGCCUCACACUGAAAAAGUUUGAGAACCACUGAUGUAGAGGAUAUGUUCA